GUCCAAGCCAUGCCGGCGUGUGUGAAGAAGGCCUUUUGGGUUGUAAAGCACUUUAAGCGAGGAGGAGGCUACUUAGAUUAAUACUCUAGGAUAGUGGACGUUACUCGCAGAAUAAGCACCGGCUAACUCUGUGCCAGCAGCCGCGGUAAUACAGAGGGUGCGAGCGUUAAUCGGAUUUACUGGGCGUAAAGCGUGCGUAGGCGGCUUUUUAAGUCGGAUGUGAAAUCCCUGAGCUUAACUUAGGAAUUGCAUUCGAUACUGGGAAGCUAGAGUAUGGGAGAGGAUGGUAGAAUUCCAGGUGUAGCGGUGAAAUGCGUAGAGAUCUGGAGGAAUACCGAUGGCGAAGGCAGCCAUCUGGCCUAAUACUGACGCUGAGGUACGAAAGCAUGGGGAGCAAACAGGAUUAGAUACCCUGGUAGUCCAUGCCGUAAACGAUGUCUACUAGCCGUUGGGGCCUUUGAGGCUUUAGUGGCGCAGCUAACGCGAUAAGUAGACCGCCUGGGGAGUACGGUCGCAAGACUAAAACUCAAAUGAAUUGACGGGGGCCCGCACAAGCGGUGGAGCAUGUGGUUUAAUUCGAUGCAACGCGAAGAACCUUACCUGGUCUUGACAUAGUAAGAACUUUCCAGAGAUGGAUUGGUGCCUUCGGGAACUUACAUACAGGUGCUGCAUGGCUGUCGUCAGCUCGUGUCGUGAGAUGUUGGGUUAAGUCCCGCAACGAGCGCAACCCUUUUCCUUAUUUGCCAGCGGGUUAAGCCGGGAACUUUAAGGAUACUGCCAGUGACAAACUGGAGGAAGGCGGGGACGACGUCAAGUCAUCAUGGCCCUUACGACCAGGGCUACACACGUGCUACAAUGGUCGGUACAAAGGGUUGCUACCUAGCGAUAGGAUGCUAAUCUCAAAAAGCCGAUCGUAGUCCGGAUUGGAGUCUGCAACUCGACUCCAUGAAGUCGGAAUCGCUAGUAAUCGCGGAUCAGAAUGCCGCGGUGAAUACGUUCCCGGGCCUUGUACACACCGCCCGUCACACCAUGGGAAUUUGUUGCACCAGAAGUAGGUAGUCUAACCGCAAGGAGGACGCUACCACGGUACCCGAAUGC
Molecule: ribosomal RNA, 1098 nt
Filed under: Acinetobacter sp. 6-10(2010)
Lineage: Bacteria; Pseudomonadati; Pseudomonadota; Gammaproteobacteria; Moraxellales; Moraxellaceae
Description: bacterial SSU rRNA
Rfam family: Bacterial small subunit ribosomal RNA
Source: RNAcentral